Molecule: ribosomal RNA, 491 nt
Filed under: uncultured bacterium
Lineage: Bacteria
Description: partial 16S ribosomal RNA
Rfam family: Bacterial small subunit ribosomal RNA
Source: RNAcentral
AGUGAACGCUGGCGGUAGGCCUAACACAUGCAAGUCGAACGGCAGCACAGUAGGAGCUUGCUCUUACGGGUGGCGAGUGGCGGACGGGUGAGGAAUACAUCGGAAUCUACUUUUUCGUGGGGGAUAACGUAGGGAAACUUACGCUAAUACCGCAUACGACCUACGGGUGAAAGCAGGGGAUCUUCGGACCUUGCGCGAUUGAAUGAGCCGAUGUCGGAUUAGCUAGUUGGCGGGGUAAAGGCCCACCAAGGCGACGAUCCGUAGCUGGUCUGAGAGGAUGAUCAGCCACACUGGAACUGAGACACGGUCCAGACUCCUACGGGAGGCAGCAGUGGGGAAUAUUGGACAAUGGGCGCAAGCCUGAUCCAGCCAUACCGCGUGGGUGAAGAAGGCCUUCGGGUUGUAAAGCCCUUUUGUUGGGAAAGAAAAGCAGCAGGUUAAUACCCCGCUGUUCUGACGGUACCCAAAGAAUAGGCACCGGCUAACUUCGU